CCUACGGGAGGCAGCAGUGGGGAAUUUUGGACAAUGGACGCACGUCUGAUCCAGCAAUUCCGCGUGCAGCUCGAAGGCCUUCGGACUGUAAACUGCUUUUGUACACUACGAAGAGGUCUCUAUUAAUACUAGGGGCUCAUGAUAGUACUGUAAGAAUAAGGUACGGCUAACUACGUGCCAGCAGCCGCGGUAAUACGUAGGGUGCAAGCGUUAAUCGGAAUUACUGGGCGUAAAGCGUGCGCAGGCGGUUAUAUAAGACAGAUGUGAAAUCCCCGGGCUCAACCUGGGAACUGCAUUUGUGACUGUAUAGCUGGAGUGCGGCAGAGGGGGAUGGAAUUCCGCGUGUAGCAGUGAAAUGCGUAGAUAUGCGGAGGAACACCGAUGGCGAAGGCAAUCCCCUGGGCCUGCACUGACGCUCAUGCACGAAAGCGUGGAGAGCAAACAGGAUUAGAUACCCUGGUAGUCCACUCAGGAAACGAUGUCAACUGGUUGUUGGGUCUUCACUGACUCAGUAACGAAGCUAACGCGUGA
Molecule: ribosomal RNA, 531 nt
Filed under: uncultured bacterium
Lineage: Bacteria
Description: bacterial SSU rRNA
Rfam family: Bacterial small subunit ribosomal RNA
Source: RNAcentral